This 253-nucleotide ribosomal RNA is filed under the name uncultured bacterium. RNAcentral's name for it is "partial 16S ribosomal RNA". It matches the Rfam family "Bacterial small subunit ribosomal RNA", at positions 524 to 776 of the family's 1533-position model. The record is from RNAcentral.
UACGGAGGGUGCAAGCGUUGUUCGGAAUUACUGGGCGUAAAGGGCGCGUAGGCGGCUCUGCAAGUCUGAUGUGAAAGCCCGGGGCUCAACCCCGGAAGUGCAUUGGAAACUGCAGAGCUUGAGUCUGGGAGAGGAGGGCAGAAUUCCCGGUGUAGGGGUGAAAUCCGUAGAUAUCGGGAGGAAAACCAGUGGCGAAGGCGGCCCUCUGGAACAUGACUGACGCUGAGGCGCGAAAGCGUGGGGAGCAAACAGG